CACUACCCGAAGGAGUCUCAAAGCGGCUAACAUUCUCCUUUCCCUUCCUCCCCCAUAACAAACACUCUGUGAGGUGAGUGAGGCUGAGAGACUUCAAAGAAGUGUGACUAGCCCAAGGUCACCCAGCAGCUGCAUGUGGAGGAGCGGGGAAGCAAACUCGGUUCACCAGAUUACGAGACUACCGCUCUUAAUCACUAUACCACACAGGCUCUCCAGAGAGUUAUUACAAAGGUCAGGUUUGACUCAGCAUGGUUCAGGCAAGAUCAAUGAUGUUAACAAGUUUGCAAUAGUGCCUCAUCAGAUUAAGUUUGGAAUCUGGAGGAGGAAAUCAGGCUGGAAAAGCUUCUCCUUUAUAUUGACCUCCUAAGACUGCAGUCCUGAGGGCAGAUAGGAGAGAGCUCAAAGAUGGAUGAACCAUUACAUCUAAUGCAGGCCUUUUACUGGCAGAGCACUAGUGAGUGUGAAGGAGUGCUCUUGUGCAUCUCUGUUGUCUUCCUUGAAAACCCCCACCAAUUUCCCUCCUUUUGAUCUACCCCUGGUUUUCCCAUGACACCCCCACAAUCUGCCCCCAAGACACUCCCCUUUCCGGAUCUCCCAAUGUCAAAGCUCCUGUGUUGUUAGGGUAAGGGUUGUGAUUUCCGCUGAGCCAGGGAGGAGCCAUUCAACAUCACCUCUUCCUCGCUAAAGUUUGACCUUUCUCUAUCUGCCAUCAGAGAGAGAAAUCUGAUGUUUCCUAUCUGGGAUACCCUCUCCCUGGGGACCAUAUUCUAUCCACUAAAAAAAUUGCUGGAAGUGCAAGAGCAGGGAUCAUUCAGUGUGCAACUUAAGGGUUAAUUUUGUUAACGUCAACAUGCACAGAGGGCAAUGGGGUGAAGGAGCUGCUUUGCAGGGCAUGAUCUCUAGAGCUCUGGUUAUGUAGUUAUGAGAGAGUUCUUUCUCUGUAUGUUUUGUUGAAGGUCUCCCUGCUACGUACAAGGCCUGACCUACAAAAGACAAAACCUUUCUCUUCCUUUCCCUUCAAAUUAUAUGCUGUCUUUCUUCAGUUUGUUCAAUAAAGUGCUAUUCAGACUCUCUGUAGACUUCUCCCGCGUUUCUUAAGGGACUUUGCUAAGAAAAACCUGCAGGUGGAGAUUCUGUGUCUGGAAGAUAUCUUCAAACAGAUGCAACUAUCAACCCUAUAGCAUAGGGUUGUAAGGAAGCAGUAGUAGUAAGGAAGAAGUUUCACACAGGUUUGAUUUUGGUCCUGGCAUUUGAGACUUAUCUCACCCAUCCUGGCUGCUCCACAAUCCUCUUUGCUGUUGUUGCAUUUUUGUUCGUCUUCGUUCAGUGUGCCUUUGAAUGGGAGGCACAGUUCAUAAAUCACACAGGGGGAAAAACACAGGCAGGAAAAGGGUGCUAUGAAAUAUAUACAGAAAAGAAAACGUUUGAUGGCAAAAGGCCGUCUUUUUUAAGACCCCUUGUUAUGGUUGUGGUCACUUGUUUAUACCUCGUAAUAACUACAGCAAUGUUAUCAGCGCUAGUCAAAGCAGAAGGAUUUCUGUCUGUGCUGUGAAUAUUGCCUCCAACAGACCCAUGUAAUUGUUUAUAAUAGCUACUCAGUGCAUAUAACCAGAGAGUUGGCCAGAAAUGUAGGUGCUUCUGGGAAAUAAAUAUUGCCUCUGCUGAUAGGCAUGAUGUCGUUCAGCUCAGGGUAAGCAAAUUAAAUCCUCUUAAUUAAAAAUAAAAACCUCAGCCCACAACUUAUUUUCCCUGCUGUAUACAUUAUCUGUGGAGAGGUUUGUAAAAUAUGUAAUGUGAUACAUUGAUUUCAUUCCAGAAUUCCAAACUUAACCUAUGUUAUAUGUGAGACUAGUUUCACUUAAAUUUAUAGUCCAGUUCCUACCAUUGAGCUUACAAGUUAAGUUUUACAAGGGAAGGGCAAUAAAUUAAAUCUAGAUGGAGGCAUAACUUUGGCCCUCUAGCUGGUUGUACAGUUUAGCACAUUAAAAAGAGAGAGAGCAUAAUGCGCACUUGUUAAUAAAAUUAGCACAGCGCUGACAUGUAAAAAACCAUUUUAUAAUUGGCGGGUCCAUUCUAAGGGCCUGUUGACAACACUGAAUUUCAGAAACCUGCUUUGGUAACAACAUUGUAAAUGUGGAAAGCUCAUAAAUGGAUACAACAGAAAUUCGUUUGCUCUUUGAUAUUACGUGUGUAUGUGUGUGUCUCCGUAAAGCGAAAACUGUAAAAUUACCACAUAAUAAAAGCCAGGGUACUGAGCGCUAAUUGCCUAUUUAUACAAAAAAGGGUCUUUUCUACAGUCUUGUAGGUGUGAGGCAUAAACGUCUUGGAUUUUACGAAGCUGCGAUUUACAUUUUCAGCCUGUCUGUUCUCUCUUGCAUUUCAUCUCAACCUUAUAAAAAAGAAAAUGUGAUUUUAUUAAUCUGCUUCAAGUAUUCACCGGGCAUUAAAUCCACAAAGCACCCUGCAGGGUUUUAAUUGUGACAGAAGAGCCAGCGACAAUUGGGGCCUCCUGCCCACCACUGAGGCUGGCCCACCCUGGCUGCUGGGCACAAAUGCUGGUUUUUAAACAGCAAUACCCGGCCGGUCGUGAUAGCCACUUUGUCAGCUGCCUGGAGGGAAGUUGUCAAGUCUGGGACCCCGCUGCUUUAUUCCUAUAACUCUGUUGUAGAAACACCUCACAAGUGGAAUUGUGGUUGCCUCAUCCAGAAAAUGUGGAAAGGAUUAAUGUGGCAUGUAAAACAAAUCACUCUUGAGCUCAGCUGAGAAAGUGGGUAUUAAAAGCACUCCAGUCAAAAGGGCUUUUAGUAAAAGGGUUGCUGUGAUAUACAGUCAGCAUAUGCUGGGCUGGUAAAGCUGCAGGGUGUUUGGAAAUGGUAAUGGUCCAUGGGUGUAAAUUCUUUCAAGACCUCUUAAAGGCACAUAUGUUUUUUGAGCAUGUUCCUCAAACAAGGACCUGUUAUGGUUUAGAGUCAAUGGCGCUUUUAAACUUUAUUGAUUGGCUUGUGAUAUUCCGAGGCCACUUAACCAUCUUUCUAGUAUUGCUGGACAAGUGGCUUUUAGAAACCUGGAAUCUCAUACAUUCUCUUGCCUACGCAGUUGUGUGCAUUCUGAAAUUAGCAAUCUCUAGAAGUCCAGUCAUCCCAAGGAAACAGUUUGACAUCUUCCCGGGGUGUGUGGGUAUGUGUCUGUGUGUGCCCUUUUAUUGAGCUUUGUUUAUUCUUAUGCAGAUUUAUUUAUUGGUUGAUAUACCACUGUUCUGGUCCCCAAAAGCCCUUAAAGGUUGCUUACAAUAAAAAUAAGUAAAAACAGUGAAAUACCUUGUCCCCGUUUUGCAAUGCACAAGUACAGGAGAACAUUUUCGGAGGCUGUUUUCACUCAGAUAUGCAUAUACCUGCUACUUCUUCUGAAGAUCAUAGACUCCUUUCAAAGCCACUUUGAAAACCACAUUUGUAACCAAACAUGUUACAAAUGAAGAAGAGCAGAAUCAUUCCAAUGCAAAUCUUUUUUGAAGCCUAGAUUUCACAAGUAUGGGACAUUGUACAAAUUAACCAGGAAUAUUGAUCUGGUGGGGUGGGGUGAGCACUCACACCUUCUGUAAGACAAGUUAUUCUAUUAUUGACUUUGUUUAGACAUUUGAACAUGGUUUUGAUCCUCCUUGUGGAGAGACACUUUCAUUUAACUGCCUUUCUGGGAAGGUCUAAAACUGCAACCAUCAGCCGCUAUUUUUCUUUCUUUUCUGAACAACUACUAAGCUCUGUUUUCCUUGCAUGCGUAUGUUUUGCUACUUGGAAUUAAUAGAUCAAUUAAACAACAUCAACAGCAUCUCUCCAGGGCAACCCAUCACCAAAUGCACACAGAGGCAAAUGUUCACCAUACCAUGUUGUAAAAACACACACCAAAGCACACAUUUAAAAGAAAAAGCUCAGAGCGAUGGAGAAGGAGCCAGUAUGUAGCACUAAUAACCUAGCAGGGUAGCAGUAAUCAGAAGCAAGAUGAAAAUGGGAUGACGAAUGGCCCAGAUAUUCAUCAUGUGCAGGAGUGAACCUUAUAGUGAAGCUGUGCUGCUCAGCUGACCACCCUCUAGUUGUGUUGCUGCUGCAUAGUAAAAUACAGAGGAGGAGGAGGAGAAGUCAGACAGCAGCAAGAUUAGCCUGCUACAAACACAUCAGCAGAGGUGAUCUGGUAGCCCUCAUUCUCUCCAUUCUGGUAUGCAAAGAGAUAUAGCUGAUUUAGGUGUACAAACUCAGUGUAAGUUCUCCAACUGUCAGAUGGGAGCAAGUAGUUGCCUACAUAGAUCACAGGAAUGUAUUGCAGGUAAAGCUGCAAAGGGAACAAGAAAAAACUGAAGCCUAAUAUUGAAAAGACAGAGGGGUUGUGUAUUCAAAGUUUUCGAGUCCAGGAAGUGGGGACAUGAUAGUGUUUAAAGUCCUAAAUAACCCAGCACCCCAACACCACCUCCUUCCCUAUAGACCCUCCCAGUUGGUAAGAUAAACAGAGAAAGGGUCCUUUUGGUAGUUCCACCUGGUAGUUCCCCAGUGGGGUAGUGGUGGUGAUAUGGGAGAGGGCAUUCUCUGUGGCAGCCCCUAAGUUGUGGUGCUGCCUCACCAGACAGUUGUGUCCAGCUCCUUUACCAUAUAGCUUUUGGCCUUUGACACCUGAGAUGUGUGUUUUCAGAGCCCACCCUAUUCCUGCAGGUGCAAUCUGCUUAAACUGUUUUAAAUGUCGAAUUAUGAAUUGUUGUAACCCACCCUGGGACCUGCUGGUGAAGAUUUAAGAGUAAGGAGCACAUUGUGUAGAACCAUUUAAGUGAGGUAGUCUACUGGCUUGACCUUCUGCUUAGGAACAUUUUAUCCAUACUUUAAAGAAGAGGAGCCAUAGUUCAGUGGCACAGCCCAUGUGCUGCAUAAGGUCACAGGUUUAGUUCCCAGAACCAAUAAUAAUAAUAAUAAUAAUAAUAAUAAUAAUAAUAAUAAUUUAUUUAUACCCUGCCUAUCUGGCUAGGUUUCCCCAGACACUCUGGGCAGCUCCCAACAGAAUAUGAAAAACACAAUAAAAUAUCAAACAUAAAAACUUCCCUAAACAGAGCUGCCUUCAGAUGUCUUCUAAAAGUCAGGUAGUUGUUUAUUUCUUUGACAUCUGAUGGGAGGGCGUUCCACCGGGUGGGUGCCACUACCGAGAAGGCCCUCUGCCUGGUUAGAUCCCUCUCCAAGAUCCUGGCAAUAUUGAACGAGAUGGACCAGUGGUCUGAUUAAUGAUAAGGUUCUUUGAGCAUGUUCAAUUUGUUUGUGGACUGAAAUGAUUCAGACUUAUCAUCUGUUGAGUAGUUCCGUUGUUCUUGAAAACUAUGCCUGCUACUUUAUAUGUAAACCUAACAAUGAAUUUAAACGUUAAAAUGAACAUAAAAUCAGGGAGCAGCUGCAUAGACUUCCCUUGCAGGUAAUCACUGCAUCUGAACACUGGCUUCACUGAAUGGAGCUCAUGUUACAAUUGCUUUUGAGCUGUACAUGCCAGAUGUUUGUGUGUGGUUUUUUUGUUUUUUUGUUUAAAGAGCAUGCAAGAGACCUUGUUGUAUUUCAAAGUGGGAAGUGGCUGAAAUGGAAACGAAGAACAAUGCUGCAUCUGGCUGUUAGAUUUUAUUUGCCAUUGCAUUCGGCAACUUUGCAAUAACAUUUCCUUCCACUGUCCCUGCACACUCACCAAUAAAUCUGUGGUUUCUUUCAAAACAUUGCUAUUGUAUCUGGACUCAUUCUGGGGUCUUGAAAUCAAUUAAAAGUACAAUGUUGGCUUUGAUGGUGUACAGGAAAGAAUUGGCACAGGAAACUGAGAUGGUGGGUCCCUGCUACCUGUCAGAUUUCUACCUGAGUUUCAGCAGGAAAGUAAUAAAAAUAUAUAUUUACCGAAAAUGUGCAUAGAAAGUAGGAAUGAACAGACACAACAAGGACAAGUUUAAUUUUUUAUCUGUCCAGAAUAUAUCUCCAUGGGUAAUCUUGGGAAAUAAAUCAUGGAUACAUGAGCAGCAAUUAUGUCAGAGUUGGGGGGCAAAAAAAGAAGAAUAUAUAUGUGUGUUUGUGUUUUGAAUCACCGUAUAUAAAAUUACUCAUGGAUUGCUCUUAUUUUUGUUAAUCCUAUAAAUCACCAGGACCGUCAAGCAGAAAGGUCAUGGUUUCAUGAUCAAAAACGUACUUAGCUGAGUUAAAACAAUCGUGCGGAAUCCUGUGUGAAUGUUGAAUAUUUUGGUUUCCCUUUCAGGUUCUGGUUCAGUGCCCCAGACUCUGCCUCUGACUGUAACCAUGACUGAAAAUAUUGUUUCACCCGUUUCAGCAAUGACACCAUUUGUUACUUCUUUGCUUUACUACAGGGCUGGUAAAAGUCAAGAUCAAUCAACCACCUUUAAUAUUUCCACCAUGCAGAGAACUUUGCAGCCAACAUGCAAAAAGAGAUACAGUUGAAGUGAAGUCACGCUCUGGCAUCUUCAUAAAAUGGAAAGCCGAACAUGUAAUUUCUGCAUACCAGGACCGAACUGCCUAAAUUUCGCUGCCAAUGCCCUGAAGUUGAGAAAAUAAUUCAAAUAUAUAUUUGAAUAGACAGAGGACAGGAAUAUCACCUUGAAACUCUGGUUAACUAUUAUUAUUUUAAUUGCAAGCUGAUGUGGAAAUGCAAAGAACUGAAUUUAAGAUAGGAAAAAUAAGAAGUUGAGUGAAAUUGACAAAUAUUCCCAUUCUUAGUAGCUCCCACAUCCUGCUAAAUGGGAGAUAAUUUGCUUCAGGGGGUACCAUGAAGGCAGUGGGAGGAUAGAUACAAGAACUAAUGUAUUUAAAAUUGUGGGGGGCAUUUGGACUCCACUUCGGGUAUUAAAAUUCAGUGGGCCAGCACAGAUGUUGAGUAGCACUAAUCAAUAUGUCAUCAUUAGAUGUAUAUACUAUCCCAUAUAUUUUUGCAUUUCUGUAGUGAGAAAUGGUACAUGGAAACGAAUAUAGGCCCAUGGAGAAAAGCAUAAUAUACGGAAAAGAGACAGGCUAUAUAAGGAUGUAGAAGGGGAGACUGAGAGAAUGAAAAGAGGAAGCAGGAAAUGAAGGCAACAUUUGAAAAGCAAAACUGCCACACCAUAAUUUAUUAGGCAAACCAGGAAAUGAAUUACAGUUAAAGAAUGACAAGAGACAUUUCGGAAACUAUAUAUAAUAAAAAGUAAAUUCUGGACUGAUGGAUCAUGUGCUUCUGGAAAUAAAAUCACAUUGCCAUUUUCUCUCGCCAACCCACCAAAA
RNAcentral lists this long non-coding RNA (7262 nucleotides) under Podarcis lilfordi (Lilford's wall lizard). Lineage: Eukaryota; Metazoa; Chordata; Lepidosauria; Squamata; Lacertidae. The record is from RNAcentral.